RNAcentral lists this ribosomal RNA (484 nucleotides) under uncultured bacterium. RNAcentral's name for it is "partial 16S ribosomal RNA". It matches the Rfam family "Bacterial small subunit ribosomal RNA", at positions 28 to 523 of the family's 1533-position model. The record is from RNAcentral.
GGCGAACGCUGGCGGCGUGCUUAACACAUGCAAGUCGAACGGAAAGGCCCUGCUUUUGUGGGGUGCUCGAGUGGCGAACGGGUGAGUAACACGUGAGUAACCUGCCCUUGACUUUGGGAUAACUUCAGGAAACUGGGGCUAAUACCGGAUAGGAGCUCCUGCUGCAUGGUGGGGGUUGGAAAGUUUCGGCGGUUGGGGAUGGACUCGCGGCUUAUCAGCUUGUUGGUGGGGUAGUGGCUUACCAAGGCUUUGACGGGUAGCCGGCCUGAGAGGGUGACCGGCCACAUUGGGACUGAGAUACUGCCCAGACUCCUACGGGAGGCAGCAGUGGGGAAUAUUGCACAAUGGGCGGAAGCCUGAUGCAGCAACGCCGCGUGCGGGAUGACGGCCUUCGGGUUGUAAACCGCUUUCGCCUGUGACGAAGCGUGAGUGACGGUAAUGGGUAAAGAAGCACCGGCUAACUACGUGCCAGCCGCCGCGGUAA